UUUACGUUUUUGGAAGAACAACCCGAACACAACUUUGAAAGUACGCACAGCACCGGUUUCGUAUUCAUUGGUCACCUUCAAUCCACCACUAUCACCGCCAACAUAAAUAUUGUUUUAAAUUUUCAGGAGAGAAGUUUCAAAGGGGAAAUAAUUUAAUUCAGCGAAGACGCUGAGAAAUAAUUUGCAAUCAUGUCAGAAGCCACCUCGUUAAACAACAGCGGCACGAAGCUGAUGAUUUACAACAGUCUGACUCGCAAGAAGGAGGUGUUCACUCCGCAGAAUGGCAACAACAUCACCUGGUACUCUUGCGGACCCACAGUCUACGAUGCCUCCCACAUGGGCCACGCCCGCUCCUACAUGUCCUUCGACAUCCUGCGGAGGGUCCUGAGAGACUACUUUGGCUACGACAUUACUUACGUCAUGAACAUCACCGACAUCGACGACAAGAUCAUCAAAAGAGCCAGGCAGAAUUAUUUGUACGAAAAGUACGCAGCCGAGUCGAGUGAGCUGGAAACUCUCCGAAAAGAUGUCGAGGAAUCUGUCGGCCGUCUAGCCAAACAAAUGGCGGUGACCACCGAUCCCGAUAAGAAAGUCAUGCAGGAGACGAUGCUGGCCAAAGUCACCGCCGCCAUUAACAAAUCGGCCGAAAUAACCAUCAAAGCUGCGGAUGGUCUAUGCCACGAUGCCAAGAGCUUUUUGUUGGCGGAAGCCAAAGACGUUUUGAGCGACUGGCUCGACUCCAAGCACGGCAUGGACGUUUCGGACAACGCCAUUUUCGCUUCACUCCCGCGAUACUGGGAGGAGGAAUUCUACAAAGACAUGGCCGCUCUCAACGUCCUACCCGCCGACGUGAUUACUCGCGUCAGCGAAUACGUCCCGGAGAUUGUCGAUUACAUCGCCAAAAUUAUGGAACGUGGAUUUGCAUAUUCGGCCAAUGGCUCUGUGUACUUUGAUGUCUCCAAAUUCGAUUCGCAAAAGAAUCACAAGUACGCCAAAUUGGUGCCGGAGGCUUACGGCGACUCCAAAGCCCUGCAGGAAGGCGAAGGCGAUCUGAGCGUCUCCGAAGAUCGUCUGAGCGAGAAGAAAUCGCCCAACGAUUUCGCCCUGUGGAAAAAUUCCAAGAGCGGCGAGCCUUCGUGGGAUUCUCCAUGGGGAAAAGGACGUCCUGGUUGGCAUAUUGAAUGCAGCGUGAUGGCCAGUGCAAUUUUGGGGUCGUCAAUGGAUUUUCACACGGGCGGCGUCGACCUCAAGUUCCCCCAUCACGACAACGAACUUGCCCAGUCUGAAGCCUAUUACGAUAACGACGAAUGGGUUCGCUAUUUCCUUCACACCGGUCAUCUGACCAUCCAGGGUUGCAAAAUGUCCAAAUCGCUCAAGAACUUCAUCACGAUCCAAGAUGCGCUGAGUCGCAACAGCAGCCGCGAAUUGCGUAUCUUCUUCCUGCUGCACCAGUGGAAGGAAACGCUCGACUACAGCGACAGCGCCAUGGAAGAAGCCUCGAGCUACGAGAAAAUGCUCAGGGAAUUCUUCCUCAACGCCAAGGAUCUCUUGAGGAGCGGCCCGACUGCUGCCGCCAUCACCGCCCAUCAGCAGCAACAUUUCCAAAAAUGGAGCGACGCCGAGCGGGAACUCAACCAGCGGUUCGUCCAAGCCAAAAAUCGAGUGCGCCAAGCUCUCUGCGAUAAUAUCGACACUAAAACUUCCUUGGAGGCCAUCAAGAGCCUGAUUUCAGACUGCAACAAAUAUCUGGCGCGGAUGAAACGAUCGGCCAACCGGGUGCUGAUCAAGUCCGUCGCCGAAUACGUCACACGAUUGUUCCAGAUCUUUGGCGUGAUCGAAGGCAAGCAAACCCUCGGAUUUCCCAGCACUGAAUCGUCUGCUGGCGGACCAGGUAAUAAUGACAUUAGCGCCGAAGAAAUCGUCAUGCCCGUCCUGGAAGCGCUGGCGGAAUUCCGGGAAGAAGUGAGGAAAGAAGCUCGACAGUUAGGGGCGAAGCCAGUUCUGGAACUUUGCGAUCGAUUUCGAGAUGAUGUCUUGCCCAGCUUGGGCGUACGACUGGAAGAUCGUGAGGGUCAACCACCUGCUUUGAAGCUCGUCCCGCGUGAUGAACUCCUCAAGGAGAUGAAACUUCUCAAGGAGAAACUCCUUACGGAGAAAGAAGAGAGAAAGGAUGCCAGACAAGCUGAGCUAAAUCGUAAAAAGAUACAGUUAGAAGAAUUGCGAGAAGCAAGGGAUGCCAGACGAGCUGCGUUAAAUCAUCAAUAGACUUUAUUUUAUUAGAAGAAUUGCGAAAAGAAAGACGAAAUGAAAUCGGUCAAACGGAUAAGUAGUCUGCUUUCAACGAAAGAGAUGCCAAUUCUGGAGCUUAACAAGUUGGAGAAAGAAUUAAUGAGUUAAUUUCUAGUACACGAGUAAGAUUUUAGAUGUAUUCGAUUCAACCAAUUACAAAUACAAUCAUUCAUAUGGCAACCAUCAGAGUAUGUAAGUGCGGUUUGAUUCGACAGGUUAUCGUUAUUUUCAAUCGAUCCACGAUUUCACUCUGACUUCAAAGUAGCGCGAAGCAAACGUGCUGCCAAUCAGACCAACCUUUUUCCGUUUCUAAUUCAAUUCAUCGCUAUCCUUGUCGACUCUUGCGCAAGUCUGUGCUGUGCAAGAAUAUCAAAUUCGGAAAAGAAAUACAUUUUUUAAAAAAGACCGCGCAUUUGUUUAAAAAAAAGAAAGGAAAAAAAUUCAAAAGAUUUCAUUCUUGAACGCUAGGUGGCUUCGAGGAUGAUGACAUUAAUAGAUAUGUGUGAAUAAGAUUUUUUUUUUUUUAUCGAAGUAUCAAAGUCUAACGAGCCGGUAGCGAUUCCUCCUUCCUAAACGUUGCUGCUUAUCGCUCUAUGUCAAUUUUACUUUCCGACUUGUUGGUUUGCCGAAAAAAACUUUUGAAAACUUUCAAGGAUGUUGGCAAGUUUAGGAUCUUAAUACUUUUGGUGUAAUAACAACCAGCAAUAACGCGGAGCAAUUUCUCGACUGUGUUUAACGCUGUUAUUCUUUGAACGACAUUAAUUUUUAAAAUGUCGACACAGUUCGAACUUGUUUGAAAUCGGGUGUUGGCAUUGAUCGAGUUGAGAGAUGGCGGAGAUGUGGCCAAUUAAAGUAGUUGGAAUAAACCCUUUGGUUGGCUGCAAUCCAGUCUAAGAAGUAAGACACCUGAGUGUAGAUACCUGAAAGAACAAUACUAGCGAUUUAGUACAUUUUUAUCCCACAAAAAUUCACGGUUGUUUAAAAAUAAUUCAUUUAAAAAAAAUGUCGGAAUGGAAUGAUGUGGCUAAUGUGGCGAUCAAGAUUCCUGCAUCCGCAUGUAACCAGUUAACUUGACUGUCAUUUGAGAUAACAACGAAGGGCAUUAUGCCAUUCCGCAUUGUAUCGUACGUACCAGGAUAAGAAGCUAAAGCGCAUCCUUCGCCCCAGGAGACAAUUCCGUAAAGGACGGCCGUCUCACCACUGCCUGUGAACAGCGGGCCGCCAGAGUCUCCCUGACAAGAAUCAAGGCCGCCUGUGGGUAUACAAAAAUAGAAACAAUUUCAUUUUAUUUUUAUUUUUUCACUCAACAGCGCAUCCCACCAAAUUCUAUUUUGUGAAUUACCCUUUUUCAUGUCACCAGCACACAUCAUCGACGGAAGAACGAUUCGAUUUUCGGAAUCACCACCGUAAGCCUUGUCGCAAACUUGGUCGGAAACCACCGUGAUGUUGACACUUCGGAGAAGGUCAGAGAGCCUGUCAUUUGACCAGGAUGCAGACUAUAUCCGAUUUUAAAAAAAAAAUGAAAUAAAAAUAUUUCAAUGUUAUCAGUGAUUUGCAAUUCCAAGAUAGAGAUCAAAGUUUAUAUUACAUUCGUGAAUCCCCAUCCGGAUACGUUGACGUGAGUUCCAGCCGGCGGAUCGUACUGAGAGGUAGGCUCCG
This is an RNA transcript of Daphnia pulex (common water flea), 3948 nucleotides long. It is a transcript of the gene named cysteine--tRNA ligase, cytoplasmic-like, with no coding region annotated. The transcript has 9 exons. The record is from RefSeq and is a predicted model, not a curated record. Lineage: Eukaryota; Metazoa; Arthropoda; Branchiopoda; Diplostraca; Daphniidae.